ACGAACAGAACAUGAGUUUCCAUUCGAAUGGAAGGAAAUACGAUAUUAAAUUAAAUUAUUAUUAAAAACUGUGCAUUCCCAUUUAUUAAAAAAAAAAAUUCAAUUAAAAUUGAAAGCCUCCGAAAAAUCAAGUAGAAAAAAUUGAACAAGAAAUAAUCAAAUUUCUCCAUACUUUUCAAAUUACCCUUACAUCUCGUCCAUCCCAUCGAAAAAAAAAACACAGGACACGAAAUAAUCAAAAUUCUCCAUACUUUUCAAAUUACCCGUACAUCUCAUCGCUCCCAUCACAAAAAAAACACCGGCUCUUUUUGUGUUGUCUGGGAAGAUGGAGAUCCCCGCCCUAGAGGAUGAACGAACCGCGGCGGCUAAUAUGGUGGAUGACAAGA
Molecule: long non-coding RNA, 386 nt
Filed under: Erythranthe guttata (spotted monkey flower)
Lineage: Eukaryota; Viridiplantae; Streptophyta; Magnoliopsida; Lamiales; Phrymaceae
Description: long non-coding RNA (EGUT_LNC000319)
Source: RNAcentral